Molecule: long non-coding RNA, 838 nt
Organism: Myotis davidii
Lineage: Eukaryota; Metazoa; Chordata; Mammalia; Chiroptera; Vespertilionidae
Exons: 3
Source: RefSeq, a predicted model, not a curated record
GCCCAAGGUGUGUGAUUCGCACCUGUGUGUGCGAGGAAGUUGCUUAUCUGGCUGCACACUCUGAUGCCAGCAGGUGCCAGGCCACUCCUGAGCCCCCAGGACUCAAGCCACAGUCUAACCCUGGACCCUCGUUGAGCCGACGCUUUGGCCCAGAAAUGGGGUCAGGCUUGCUGCAGUUUGGCCAGUGGGUGUGCAGACACGCAACUUGCCCUCCAUUGCAUCUUAAUGAAGUACCAUGAAGCAAAUGCCCAGGAGACAACCAGCUGCAUCCAGAAACACCACUGCCAGCACCUGGAGCCCCACCCCCUGGCCAGUACCCUCGACCUUCUCCCUCGAGUCACUGCUAAUAAUCCGCAUAGAAUUCCGGCACCUGCUCGGGUGGGACCUGCCGCUGUGGCCCCGCUUCGGGCGAGGAAGUGGCCUGGGCAGAGGUGCCCACUCCUCCAUCUGCAGACUCAGUGCCACCAGGAGUCAGCAAGGCCUGGCGAGGUAAGGCUGAGUCAUUGUUAUGUAAUGCCUACUGGGCAUGCAUUGUGAGGUCAUUCACUCGCCUGAUUUUUCUUAUAAAAUUGUCUGGUUACUAGUACAUAUUUAUAUCUUGGCUAAUAAUAUGUACAUGAAAGUAAUAAAACUUCACUUUUGCAGAAGUACCCAACUUAUGCCACCUUUUCCUGCCAGCCCGUUCCAAGAGCCUUCUGGGCCCAGAGCGGGUCUGAGCGGCUUGCUUUUUUUUUGUUAAUCCUCACCCGAGAAUAGUUUUCCAUUGGGUUUUAGAGCGCGCGGAAGAGAGAGGGAAGGACAGAGAGAAACAUAGAUGUGAGAAACACAUCGAUUGGUU